CCAAUAGCGUAUAUUAAAGUUGUUGCAGUUAAAAAGCUCGUAGUUGAACUUCGGGGUUUACCCAUUGGUCAGGCUUAAUUGUCUGUACUGGUGAGAUAAAUCUCUACCUUCUGAGGAACUUUCAUGUCAUUAAUUUGGUGUGAUUGGAAAUCAGGACUGUUACUUUGAAAAAAUUAGAGUGUUUAAAGCAGGCUAACGUCUGAAUACAUUAGCAUGGAAU
This 220-nucleotide ribosomal RNA is filed under the name uncultured Diversispora. Its description in RNAcentral is "partial small subunit ribosomal RNA". It matches the Rfam family "Eukaryotic small subunit ribosomal RNA", at positions 591 to 815 of the family's 1831-position model. Lineage: Eukaryota; Fungi; Glomeromycota; Glomeromycetes; Diversisporales; Diversisporaceae. The record is from RNAcentral.